UCCCUGAUAGCUCAGUUGGUAAAGAAUCUGCCUGCAAUGCAGGAGAUCCAGGUUCGAUCCCUGGGUUGGGAA
Molecule: transfer RNA, 72 nt
Filed under: Capra hircus (goat)
Lineage: Eukaryota; Metazoa; Chordata; Mammalia; Artiodactyla; Bovidae
Also listed under: 1 other name
Rfam family: tRNA
About the family: Transfer RNA (tRNA) molecules are approximately 80 nucleotides in length. Their secondary structure includes four short double-helical elements and three loops (D, anti-codon, and T loops).
Source: Rfam by way of RNAcentral